UUGCUUUCAGCACGACAGCAGAGAACACGCUAUGUUGGCAUAAAGGUGUAAGGUUAUACCUAACCAAAUACAUUGAGAUUUUGGGUCUAUUUUGGGGUUUGGAGAUCACAUCAAAUUCUAGUUGUUUACUCAACUUGUACCUUAGUGUGAGUCAGGUCCUUUGGAUCAUUUCGGGUUUUGUGUUGAAAUUUUCCGGUGUGGACUGUAAAGACAAUGUAGUAGACAUUAUAAGAAAACUAAGAGGUUUGAUGAACCAAACACUUCAUCAAAAUAAGCAGUUGCUGUUGAGAGAGCUUCUUUUGGGAAACCUGGUCAGAUUAGUACUACUUAGAUAUAUUUUGAAUUAUAAUGCUUCACAUGAGGAAUAGUCAGACUAGUGCAUGAUUCUAUUAACAAAUAAUUAUAGUUUUCUCUGGCCAGUGACCCAAUUAUUGCCUCUGCUAUCUCUUGUUCUAUCUUUUCCAUGCGUUUUAUUUUAUUAAGACUUCCCCAGUUCUCUUUGCUCUAUCUAAAAGCAGCACUUUUGCUGUCUAGCUUAACAACAGUAUUUAACUUGCAUUUUGCAACUUCUUAUUUCUUUAAAGUAAAUGCGCAUACAUGAUAUGCAUGCAUUUUUGCAUCAUUGAACAUUUGAGAUUGAUAAAAUUUACAUUAUUAGGUCAGUUCUAAACCAACUCAUAUCCGAGAGCUGGAAAUUAAUUGUCACUUGCCACUAAAUACACUCAUUGGAAAUGUCGUAAUAUAACAAAAUUUAGAAUACUGAGUGUUGGUGUGAACAACUUUUGAGCCAUGGCCUCGGGGCCGUCGCAGCUCGGUUCAGGUCCGAAUGGCGGGGAUCGACUUACAUAGGAGCUCGUGGGGGCGUCCUGCGGGGAAGGGUUCCACUCUGCGACGUUGGGAAGAAACAGCUCCGUCUUCGUACCUGCACACAGGUCGAGUCGGAAGCUCGGCCCGACCCCUCCGACGAUCAAGUCAAUGAUGUGGGGUGGUGCGGUGUUUUCCUCUGUGUCUCCCCUCUCCUUUAGAACGCGAGGGUAUUUAUAGGAAAGUUUAGUGUUACCUGAUGUGCCUGCCCGUAGGGAGCAGGAUCGUACCUCUGAUGGCGUCUGACAUCGUUGUUGGCGUGGCAUGAGGGAUCGAGCAUGAGAGGUCAUUAAUGGGCCUUGGCCUGUGUUCUGGUUUGUUUGACGAGGUCCAACCGGGUUGAUCGAGGCGUGAGCUUCGUCUGGGUCAGCUGACGUCAGCCCGAGUCAUGUCGUCAUUUAUUACCCUCAUCAUAUUCCCCCCCCCCCCCUCGAAGGAAGUCAUGCGUCGGCUGUUGCUGGGGGGUCCGAGGCGUGGCUUCGGUUUCGAGAGACUGUCCUAGCCGGGCGUUUGCCGGUUCGUCGUGGCGUUUAGCAGCUAAGAAGAGCUGGGUGUGCAGCGGUGACCCUGGGUAGUGUACGGCCGAGGAGCAAAGCUCAAGUGUGUUCUCGGGCGACAUGCAACCGAGGAGCACGACGCGGGCGGGCUGGCCGCUCAAGUGUGUUCUCGGGGGGCAUGAAGCCGAGGAGCACAAUGCAGGCAGGCUGGCCGCUCAGGUGUUUUCUCGGGGGGCAUGAAGCCGAGGAGCACGACGCAAGCGGGCUAGCCGCGCAGGUGUGUUCUCGGGCGACAUGCAGCCGAGGAGCACAACGCGAGUGGGCUGGCCGCUCCGGUGUGUUCUCGGCGGGCAUGAAGCCGAGGAGCACGACGCAGGUGGGCUAGCCGCGCAGGUGUGUUCUCGGGCGACAUGCAGCCGAGGAGCAUGACGCGGGCGGGCUGGCCACUCAGGUGUGUUCUCGGGGGGCAUGAAGCCGAGGAGCACGACGCAGGCGAGCUGGCCGCGCAGGUGUGUUCUCGGGCGACAUGGAGCCAAGGAGCUACUUGCGUCGUAGUCCCUCCACGCGAAUUUAGCAACGACGAGGACCGAGAACAUCUGUGCCCUGUUGUGUCAUUGGAGGGGAGCUCUUUGCGUCUGCAACACGCUCUUAGGCGUCGAAAUCAAGGCGCCAGGGGUCUGCCGUUUGCUUAGCUUGCCCCUGAGUCGCCGCGUCAGGCCUUCAUUAUGGCGGGACGUCCUUUGGCCUCGCUGACGUGACAUGGCGGAUAGGUGCAUACGUGAGUGGGCUGUCACCCACUCUCGGGAGGCGAAGGGGCGCUGGUUCUGGCGGGAUCCUUCCUUUAAGUAGCGCGCGCCCGACUUCGUUCCCUUCUCUCGCUGCUGAGUCUUCUUCGGGUCUUGCCAUCCCCUUUCCAAUCAUUUUCCUCGCCUCCAGCGUCGCCUCACUUCCCCAAGUAGCCCCUACCUGUUUCCCGUUAAGGUCAGUGAGGAUGACCUCCUCUUCUUCCCCUUCUUCUUCUUCCCAUGGAGCUAGGGAGAGAUGCCCCCCACCGUCCCCCAUUCAAUCCUCCGAUGGGGAAGCGGCGCGGGCCCUUGAGACCUUGAUGUGGCCGCACGACCUGGACUCCACCGUGAGCGGGUCAUCGCUGAGGGGACUCCGGGAACGUUAUAGUAUCCCGGAGGACUAUAUCCUCAGCGCCCCUGAACCGGGACAACGGGCCUACGACCCGGUUCCGAAGGGUUUUGCGUUAACCCUAGACGCCCUGGAGGCGGGUCUGCGCUUUCCCCUUCACCCCCUCAUUGUCUCCUGUAUCUCUCUCUGGCGGAUCUCGCCAUCCCAGGUGGCGCCAAACUCUUUGCGCUACCUAGUGGUGUUCCUAGGGGAAUGCCACUACGCCAACAUCACCCCCACACUCAAUCUGUUUAUGUCCUGCUACUGUCUUUCCAAAGGGCUGGGGGGUUACUUCCUGUCUGCCCGAGCGGGCUUUCGAGUCGGGGGGGCCCCUUCCAGCAACAAAGGAUGGAAGGGGAGGUUUUUCUAUGUUAGUUGUGCAAGGGAUUGGGGUUUUGUAGUCCGAUGGUCCGCGAGGGUGAUUGAUAACACCGGCCCGAGCCUGAGCGACGAAGAACCCCGGGAUCUGGGGAGGCUCGGGGAGGUUCUCCCCAGCUCCCAGGCCAUCCGGAAUAUGACCGAGCGGUGGCUAGCCGAGGCUGGUCUUAGUCCGACGCCUUGGGGUAUGUUAAUAGCGCCCGGUCCGGGUAUUCCGUGGCUCGCCCCUAGUUCUAACUUUUGACCUACUUUUUGAAAUGGUGAAUCUUCGAUCCCUUCUGGGAGGUCGAGCGUCGCCCGCUUCUUCUCCACGCCCAUCAACCGACCCGAAGCCCGGCUCGAAAGACGCCCCGUUGGAGGUCGAGGUCGGGCGUCCUCGGAAGAAGGCCAAGCUCUCUGUCUCUACGGGAGCUGAGGCGGGUCCUAAUCGAGGCGCGACGGGACCCAGUCGGGAGGCGACAGGGAAGGACUCGCGCCCUCCCUCCGUGCGCGAUCUGUGCCGACUACCUACGGGCGACGACGAGCCGUUUCUAUCGCGGUUGGUGGGCGAGAUCCUGACGGGGGAGGCAAGUGACCCCCUGGUCGCUCGUUGGGGGGGCAUGUCCCGGGGGGACAAGGUGUGGGCUGGAGGGGAUUCCUCCGCGGCCUUCCUCCGGGGUACGCUUCAUCCCGACAUGGCUCGGGACAUAUAUACCCUGCCCUCGGAGGCUUUGCAUGGCAAGUCGGCCAAGUCCCUGACAUUGGUAAGUAUUGCGCCUGCUAUUUCUAGCUAUACAUCCGACGGUGUUUCUCCUAACCUGUCCUCCUCGUUGCAAGGCCUUCACUACGCGACGGCCCUGAUGGAUCGGGUGCAUGACGCUGGCCGGAUCAUCGGGGGCCUAAUCGGCCGCAAUGCCGAACAGCGUUGCCAGGUGGAGGAGGUCUGUGCCGGGGCGGGCCCGGAAGUCGUGGCGCCCGUUGAGAAGCGAGCGGCGGAUUCGGAGGCGGAGGUUGCUCACCUCAAGUCGGAGCUCCAGGCCUCCGAAACUUCGAAUAAGGAGCUCCAGAAACUUGUAAGGGUAGAGCGGACCGAGCUCCGUCUGUUGAAGACGGAGGCGAGCACCCUCAGCAAGAAGUUGGAGGAGGCGAAGGCGGAGGCGACAGCGGCUUCUGAAGCGCUUGCCGAGGAGGCUCGCCUCCGACCCGACAAGGACAAAGAGCUGAUCGUGAAGCUGGCAGGCAUCGCAUAUUUGCACAUAUGCUCUCGCGUCUCGACACAUAGUGGGCCAGUAGUACCCUUGACGAAGCGUCUUGAAUGCCAGGGUGCGCCCACCUAUGUGCUCACCGCAAAUCCCGUCGUGGACCUCGGCAAGAACUGACUGAGCCUCUUCGAGCUCCAGGCAGCGCAGGAGGGGGCGUGAAUACGAUCUCCUGUAUAACCGUCCGCCGAUUUCUCGAUACCAGGCUUGGGUUCGGCGUAGGCGUCGAGCCGCGGCUUCGUCAUCAGGAAGCGUCCCGUGAUGUUUGAAGUCUAACAUCUCCUGCACCCAUGUCGUUGGGGAGCCAGCAACGGCCACCGCUGCGACCGCGAUGGCUCGGGUGGGGAGUUCCUCCACGUCGAGCUCACUCUCGGGACCCGACCUCGAGGCCAGCUUGGCCAGCGUGUCCGCCCGUUCGUUUUGGCGCCUCGGCACCCUGGACAAUAUGAAGCGGGAGAAAUGGGCGGCAAGAGCUUUUACCUCCACCAGAUACCUCGACAUGGUUGGGUCCCGUGCCGCAUACCCUCCGGUGAGCUGUUCGGCAACCAGCUGCGAGUCGGUGAGGACGUGUAUGUCACCCACCUGCAUUUCCACGGCUAGUCUGAGCCCCACCAGCAGCGCUUCGUACUUCGCUUCGUUGUUGGUGGCCUUAAAUCCGAAGCGGAGCGAGCGCUCGAACGAGCGCCCAUCGGGGGCUUCUAACACCAGCCCGAUCCCCGCGCCUUUUCGACCGGAUGAUCCGUCCACGCGGAGGAGCCAUUCCGUCUUCACGCGUCCUGGCUCCUCGCCCUCGGGCUGGGUUAGUUUUGAGAUGAAGUCGGCCACCGCCUGCGCCUUGAUGGCGGUCCUCGGGACGUACCAAAUAUCGAACUCACCGAGCUCCACUGACCACUUGAGGCGACCUGCUAGGUCAAAUUUAGACAAAACCUGACGGAGCGGCUGGUCGGUGAUUACCUCGAUCGGAUGAGCUUGGAAGUAGGGGCGCAGCUUCCGGGCGAUCAGUACGAGCGCCAACGCCAGCUUCUCGAUCGGGGGGUAUUGUUCCUCGGGCCCACUAAGGACAUGGCCGGUAUAGUAAACCGGUCGCUGUUCUCCAGAGGCCUCCUUGACCAGGACAGAACUUACUGCAUGUUGAGAGGCGGCCAGGUAGACACCCAGCUUUUCCUGAGGGGACACCGAAGUGAGGCGAGGGAGGGAGGCCAGAUGCUCCUUUACAAGGGCGAGAGCCUUCUCGCAUUCCACCGUCCACGCGAAGUCCUUGGGAUCCUUCAGAGCCCGGAAGAAGGGGAGGCAUCGGUCGCCUAAUCGAGAAAGGAACCUUAACAUGGCGGCGAGCCUUCCGUUCAGGCGCUGCACUUCCUUGAUUGUCCGAGGGGCCUACAUGUCGAUAAUCGCUGGUAUCUUUUCGGGGUUCACAUCGAUUCCCCUUUCAUGUAUGAUGAACCCGAGGAACUUGCCCGAGUUAACACCGAAGGCGCACUUGGCGGGGUUGAGUCGCAUGUUGUACCUUCGCAACGUGUUGAAAGUCUCGGCCAAGUCGGACAAGUGAGUCGUCGCCGCGCGACUUUUUACAAUCAUAUCGUCGACGUAGACCUUCAUGUUUCUCCCUAUCUAGUAAGCAAACAUUUUGUUCACAGUCCUUUGAUACGUAGCCCCAACGUUCUUCAGCCCGAAUGGCAUAACCUUGUAGAAGUAUACCCCUCGGUCGGUGAGGAAGGCGAUUGUGCUGCUGGUCUUCGGGCGCCAUCCUGAUCUGGUUGUAGCCGGAGAAGGCGUCCAUGAAUGAAAGGCGGGCGUGACCGACUGUUGCGUCGACUAGCUGGUCGAUUCGCGGGAGGGGGUAGCAAUCCUUCAGACACGCACGAUUAAGAUCGGUGUAGUCAACACACAUUCUCCAGCUUCCAUUAGGUUUCUUCACGAGGACUACAUUGGACAACCAGCGUGGGAAUUUGGCUUCUUCAAUGAAGUCUGCCGCCAGAAGUCGUUCCACCUCUUCUCGGACGACCUGCCAGCGUUCGGGGGCGAGGCGCAGGGGCUUCUGCUUUACUGGCCGCAUGUCGGGGGAGACACACAAGCGAUGCUGAGAUACCUCAGGGUCGACGACUGGCAUGUCAGUGGGUGACCAGGCGAAGAUAUCGGCAUUCUCUUGGAGGAGAUUGAUAAGCUGGUCUCGUUCCUGCUCGGGAAGCUCUGACCCGAGCUUGAUCGUCCGAUCGGGACGUCCCUCAAAUAUUGGCACAUCCACCGUAGGCUCCAUCGGCUCGGGGUGCUGAGCCGGCUUUUUCGCUUCUCGGGGGUCUUUGAGGGGCAGUUCGGCCGUCCUUCUUUUGUGCAGGGAGACCGCGGUCAAGUAACACCGCCUUGACUCGCGGGGGCUCCCCCGGGCCACUCCAACCCCUGCUCGGGUCGAGAACUUCAAGGUUCGGUGGUAGGUGGAGAUAACCGUCCUGAAUUUGUUAAGGGUGGGGCGCCCCAGAAUCGCGUUGUAAGCGAUGGGGAGGUUGACCACCAAGAAAGUUGCCAUCACCGUCUUCGUCCUCGGCACUUCCCCGAGGGUUAAGGGUAAGGUGAUCGCGCCCAGCGGUGAAAUUGAUUCACCGGUGAACCCGGUGAGCGCUGAGUUCAUAGGCUUUCGGGCGUCGUAGGAGAGCCCGAGUUUCUGGAAGGCGUCUAGAUAAAGGACGUCGGCCGAACUUCCAGUGUCGACCAUGAUCCUCCUUACUUGGGCGUUGGCGAUUCUGGCGGCCACCACCAACGCGUCAUCGUGCUCGGGCCGCAUGUCCCUCUCGGGGGGAAACGUGACCUCGGGUUCGGACCCGCGCCCAGGGUCUUCGGUUGCGGCAACGCGGGCGUAUGCUUUCCGCCCGGACAUGCUACUUCCCCCAGAUGCCGGGCCGCCCGUGAUCACGUCAAUCUGACUUUCGACGGGGCCCUCGGGCCGGGGGGAAAACUCUUUACCCUGUCGUAGAUAGCGAUCGAGGUGACCUCUCCGAAUCAUCUCCUCGAUCUGUCGCUUCAGCUCACGGCACUCUUCCGUGUCAUGCUCGUUUUGCCAGUGAAAGCGGCAAUACCGCGUCUUGUCCGCGAGCUCCCGUGGGCUCCUCAUCGGACUGGGGGUCUGGAGCAGCCCCUUCUCCUUUAUCUGGAGGAAUAUCUGCGUUCGGGACGCUCCCAUAACGGGGAGUGGCGACCUCGGCGCGGAGGGGUCGGACCGGUCCGACCUUCGCCUCAGCGGGCCGGGCAACUGCCCUCGCAGUGGCUCCGUCCGAGGCCUUUUAUGUUCCUCGUGUCUCCCCGACAUCCAGGCUUCCGCCGCGACAGAGUGGUUGGCUCGCUGGAGCAUUUCUGAAACUAUGGUGGGGAGUCGCUCCACGAGGGACCAGAAAAACCUGGACGGACGGAGACCCGCCAUGAAUGCCUGCAUCAACAAAGAGGGGUGAGCUUCUGACAAGCCCCUGAUUUCUGUGGCGAAUCAGCUCACAAAACGAGAGAGGGGUUCGUCCUCCUUUUGGUUCAGUCCAAGGAGGAGGGCGACGGACGGCUUCGGUCGGGCCACAGCCAGGAAGUUGAGUUCGAACUCCUUAGCGAGUUGGUCGAAGGAAGCGAUUUCGUCGGUCUUCAAACCGCUGUACCACGUGCGUGCUGGCCCCCUUAGGGUUGUGGGAAACGCCCUGCACAUCAAAGCGUCAGCAGUUCCGUAUAGUGCCAACUGAGCCCGAAAGGCGGCCACGUGGUCCGCAGGGUCGGUGGUGCCAUCGUAGGCGUCCAGGGAGGGGAGUCGAAAGCUCGGGGGCACCGGUUGGUUGCGUAUCUCAACUGCGAACGGCGACCCCCGGUGUGCAUCAUCCCCUGGCUCUCCCUUUGAGGCAUGGACCUCCUUCCGCACUUCUUCGAGUCGUUGACUGAGAAGGCGCAGUUGGGCCCGAAAGGAGUCCGCUGAGUCGGGAGAUAUCGCCUCAUGCUCGGGUCGGCCGGUUGGGUUUCCCCCUGCUUGAUCUCCAAGGAGAAACACCCAGGUCUGGGGUGAACCAAGGAGUAUCGAGGUGGUCACGUGAACCGGUGCAGAGGACUCCACUCGGCGCGUAGGGCGGGCCGUCGACGUGUUCAUUGAUUGAGAAAUGAGCGGGAUGACGGUCUGCACCAUUCCCGCCAAGGUUCGGACCUGGAGGGCAAGGUCCUUAAAGGCUUCGGAUGACACGGGUGACGGCACGCUCGGAGCGGCCUCGGGCGGAAGCAGACCAGGGUCAUUGAACAAACGCCAAUAGCGUUCCGAGGUCGUGACGAGGUCCUCGGCCCAUGGCCCGUCACGCGAGGGGCGCCCGGCUUGCGCCCCUGUUAAGAACGAUCCCUCGGCGGGGAGUUCGUCGAGGUCUGUCUGAGGAUCCCGAGGCAUUCGGCCCUCCUUCCAGCGCCAAACUGUUGGUGUGAACAACUUUUGAGCCGUGGCCUCGGGACCGUCGCAACUCGGUUCAGGUCUGAAUGGCGGGGAUCUUGCUCGGAGUCCCUCGGGGGUUGCCGAUGCAGCCGGUUGCAGGGAUCGACUUACAUAGGAGCUCGUGGGGGCGUCCUGCGGGGAAGGUUUCCACUCUACGGCGUUGGGAAGAAACAGCUCCGACUUCGUACCUGCACACAGGUCGGGUCGGAAGCUCGGCCCGACCCCUCCGACGAUCAAGUCAAUGAUGUGGGGUGGUGCGGUGUUUUCCUCUGUGUCUCACCUCUCCGUUAGAACGCGAGGGUAUUUAUAAGGAAGUGUAGUGUUACCUGAUGUGCCUGCCCGCAGGGAGCAGGAUCGUACCUCUGAUGGCGUCUGACAUCGCUGUUGGCGUGGCGUGAGGGAUCGAGCCUGAGCGGUCGUUAAUGGGCCUCGGCCUGUGGUCUGGUUCAUUUGACCAGGUCCAGCCGGGUUGAUCGAGGCGUGAGCUUCGUCUGGGUCAGCUGACAUCAGCCCGAGUCAUGUCGUCAUUUAUUCCCCUCAACACUAAGCACCAUGUUUGACCACAAUAUCAAGACUACGAUCAAGAUAAGCAAAUUUAGAUAAAUAUUGGUCAAGAUUAUUUUUUAUGACCUCCAGUACAAGUUACAAUGAUUGUGGACACUCUUAAUAAGUCUAACUUUGCCAAUAGAGAAGUAAGAGGUUGCUUUUUACGGAUCAUACCAGUAAGAUCCUACAAGUACUGGGUAAGUCAAGAUUCAGUGCAAAGUCCAAAAAAGGUUUGCCAAAUUUAGAAUUCAAAACUCGUAUAUUUUGUGAAUAUGGUUCCUUAUAUUUAGUCCAAAGUUUAAGGGUAGUCCACUUAUGGAUAUACACUAUAUACAUCCCAGAUUUUACACUUAUGCCUAUUACAGAUUUCGAUUUGUAAUUUUAUGAUUUAUAUUUUUUAUCUUAUGCAAAUUAGUCAGGGAUUGUUAUGUAUAAGGAUUUACUAAAAAUAAAUGGGAAAGAAAUGUUGGGAACAGUUAUGGAAACUACUUGCAGUUUAAAAACUCAUUUAAUGUGCUGUAAUGGUUCAAAAAGUCAUAACUCUUUAGGAUAACUGAAAGGAUGUUUUAGCAUCCUUUCAAUGUCUAAAUAAACUCCGCUAUAUUGAAAAGUAAAGCAAUAAGAAAAUUCUAGUGCAAACAAAGUACUGAAUUCUAUCUUUCUCUUUAUUUUCUAGUUGAAUUUUUAUUCUUCAAGUAAUCAAGAAGUGCAAUCUUGAUUAUUUCAGGUAAUAGGCAUUGUAUCCUUAGAGAGAAUUUCUGUGAAGCCAUCUGCAUUGUAGUGGGAAAAUUAUCUAUCUUGAAGAUAGUUUCCUAGAAAUGCCUUGCCUAAUUUUGUUUUGUUCAAGUUUUACUCAGAUCUGUAUUUCUACUACAACAACUGUACCAAUGUUCAAGAACAAAAGAAGAUAAUUGAUGUCAUAGGGAAUUUGAAAUGUCAGAUAAAAUUAUUUUGAAUACCAAAAUGACUAAUGUUUCAACAAUGUAAAAAUGAAACCUCAGUUUCUGCCAAGGCACAUAUCUACCAUCUCAUUGCAAUGAAAUGAAAAUGAGAAAAAAUGGAAAUUAAAAUAUAAGCACAGCAAAAUAUAAAAUCACAUCUAUGGAUGAAGAAAUCCACAGCCAUGCGCAACAAAAAAGAACUAAGAGCUUCGAUGUAAUGAGCAGAGCAUGAAGAUACAGUGACAGCUCCUAAUAAAUUCCAGUACCAAAGUGCCCUCUCCAAAUCCCAUUAAUGAUGGCACCCCUUAGCCUCAAAAUUGAAUAUAUACAUGCAUUCUCUAUGGUUCCAUCUGAUGACUACAGUAUGCAUAUUAUUUGAUGUUCAUAACCAUUUGAGAACCGACUUAUGCGGCAAGCAACAAGAAAUUAAUAAAGGAUCAAAAGAUUAAAUAAAAUAGCAUGUAUUCCAAUAUGUAUAGGCACGGCCAGAUAUUAUGCAUUAGGGACUCAUUACAGAUUAACCCAUGUAGUUAGCUACCUUUAGCAUCUCUGUCCCUACACUUUAAAAGGUUACAUUUACAUCCUUAAAAUUACGAAAAUGAAACAUUUAGACCCAUUUACCAUGAUGAGGUCAGUUUUACUAACGGAAAUACGAAAACAAAGGGAAAAAAAUAUUAUUUUAACGUUCCAGUUUGUGAUGACAAACAGCGUUGGUGGUGCUAGACGACAACGCAGCUGGGUGUCACGGGUGAUUGUUAUGGAUGAGGAGAAUAGUAACGAGAGGUGAGGGCCGCUCUGCAUCUGCAUUUGCGUCGAUGUAGUGUCGUGCGACGAGAUGGCCACUGAUGCAAAUGUUGAGCGGCACCGCUCAGCAUCAACAUCAACGCAGUUGCCGAGAGGCACCCUUCGACAUUAAUAUCGACAAUCCUUUCAUCGCUCGACAACUGCAUCGACGUCGAUAUAGAUACAAAGCGGCUAUCACCUCUCGUUAUCGCUCUCCUUAUCCACAACAAUCACCCACAGCCCUCAGUGACGUCGUCGUGCACAACCACUGACGUCAUCCGCCACCACUAACUGAAAUAUUUAAAUUCCCUUUUAACCUUUUAUUUUUGUAUUUUCGUUGGUAAAACUGACAACGUUAGAGUAAAUAAACUUAGAUAUUAUACUUUUGUAAUUAUAGGGAUGGCAAUGUAUUUUUUUAAAAUGUAAGGAUCGAGAUGCUAAACCUAGACAUUGCACUUACACGCAAUAGGGAGUAGGAAUUGAGGUUGCCUAGGGCUCUCCAAUAGGAGGGGAAGAAACAUUCCAAGGGAGAUGAGUCACACGAGGGUGGGGAUCAAAUUUCUUGUCUUAAUGGACCCAAUUGAGGUUCAAUUUCGGUGCAACACCACUUGAGCGUGCGACUAGACCGCCCAAUGCCCAGUUGGUGCUCGCCUAAGCAUCGCAUGAGUGAAAACGCCUGCGUGAUGUGCACAGCAAGGCGCUCAGGCCUCGCCUCGUGUGAUUAGGCGAGCACCAAGCACCCAAUGUUUAGGUUAGAUAGAACUAAGAUGAUCUAACUUGAAUCUCAUGACAUUUAAAAAAUAGAUAGAUAUACAACCAAUGUAGCUCAAAUUCAAUAAUCUUUCUGGACCUAUGAUGAAUUUGGUUCAAAUCAGUGAGAAUAUGCCAAUAAAACCAACAAGUGCAAACGACAACAAUAAUAACAAAAGCCAUGAUGUCCAAACUAUUUAUAAUCAUCCAUACGGAUCUUUUGUAUCUUUGAACUCUGUGUAAGAAAAUAUCUGUAGUUAAAUUAAGAGCAUUAAAAUAUCUCUCAAUUGUUACCAGUAAAAUCUACUUCAAUCACCAACAAAACCACCAAAUACAAGAUUUGACAAUCCAAAUGUAAGCAGGCCUGUGUGUUUUGAGGUAUGAGCAAGCCUCAAGUAGCGAAGAUAGUUGCUUUCAGCACUUGGCAGAGAACAUACUAUGCUGACAUAAAAGUGUAAGUUUAUACCUAACCAAAUACAUUGAGAUUUUGGGUCUAUUUUGGGGUUUGGAAAUCGAGUCAAAUUCUAGUUGUUUACUCAACUUGUACUUUAGGGUGAGUCGAGUCCUUUGUAUCAUUUGGGGUUUUGUGUUGUUCUGGUGUGCUGGAAGAGGAAACUACAAUGCAGUAAACAUAAUAAGAAAACUAAGAGGUUUGAUGAACCAAAAAAUUCAUCAAAAUAAAUAGUUGCUGUUGAGAUAGUUUCUUUUGGGAAACCUAGUUAGAUUAGUAUUAUCUUAGGUAUAUUUUUAAUUAAAAUGCUUCACAUGAGGAAUAGUCAGACUUGUGCAUGAUUCUAUUGACAAAUGAUUAUGAUUUUCUUUGCACAGUGACCGGAUUAUUGUCUCUGCUAUCUCUUUUUCUAACUUUUCCAUGCUUUUUUGUCUCUAAGACUUCCCCGAUCCUCUUUGCUCUCUCCGAAAGCAUCACUUCUCCUGCUGUCUAUCUUAACAACAGUAUUUAACUUGCAUACAGUGACAUGCUAUUUCUUUAAAGUAAAUGCUCAUGACAUGCUGCAGACUGCUUGUUGGGAGGGGUAGCGGGUAACUAUCAGGGAGUAGGAAAGGGAAGGGGAAGAUGUAAAGAGAGGGUGAAGAGAAGGAGAAGGGAUUGNNNNNN
RNAcentral lists this long non-coding RNA (12722 nucleotides) under Musa acuminata (dwarf banana). Its description in RNAcentral is "long non-coding RNA (MACU_LNC005769)". The record is from RNAcentral. Lineage: Eukaryota; Viridiplantae; Streptophyta; Magnoliopsida; Zingiberales; Musaceae.